This 1650-nucleotide long non-coding RNA is filed under the name Homo sapiens (human). Its description in RNAcentral is "HSALNT0298979". Lineage: Eukaryota; Metazoa; Chordata; Mammalia; Primates; Hominidae. The record is from RNAcentral.
GAGCGAGAUUCCGUCUCAAAAAAAAAAAAAAAUUGUACAGGCUACAGUUGGAAAUGCGUUUUUUUUUAAAGACCAGAUAAUUAUUUGAAGUCAAGUACCUACUGUUCUUUGAUCAACCCAAUACUGAAUACCUCCUCUGUGCUGGGUACUACCAGGGAUAUGAAGAUGAACAAGAUGCCAUCCCCAUCCUGGACGUUCCCCUGGGUUGCAGAGGGCAGGGUGGGUGGGUAAUGUGUAAACAAGUUGUGAGGGUUCAGUGAACAGAGACAAGGAGCAACAUGCAUGCUGCAGAGGGUUCCUGAGAGUGCUGCAGAGGAAAGGGACCAUACUCAGGAAGACUUCACAGAAGCGACUUUUGAACCCUUCAGGAAGACCAGGAGAGGAUCCUCGCCAAGGCAGGGAUGAGGAAUGCAAGAUGGGAGGCUUGGGCCCCAGAGAUUCAUCAGUGAUAUUAAAGUGUUGGCCCAGAUGGGGUGGUGGGUAGAUGGAAAAUAAAGAUGGACCUCCCCGCCUCCUCCCCACCAUCCACCAUCAGAAGACUGGAGGUAUAGAAACAAGUUAGGAGGCUGCUCUGUCCCAAUGAGAAAUGCAGGAUGCCUGAGAUGCCUGAGCCGCAGCAGUGGAGGCACUCAGGGCACAGCCAAGAGAUGAGGAGGAUUUACUGACAAAAAUGCCAGUCACCAAGAGAGAGACAAAUCAGACACCUGUUCUCAGUGCUGUGAUGGGCUGGGUCUGGUAGGAGGCAAAGGAUGUGUUAAUUAUGAUACAAGUAGCAAGUGUUGGAUGUCAUGAGAAAUAGCUAAAAGGGCUCAAACCCAUCAUUGUUUGGCCCAGGAACAUAUGAAAACAUAGAUUACCCCACAUUCCUAAGCAUGUUCAUAUCUCAAGCUUUUUAUGAUCAUUUCACAUAAAAUAUUAUUCAAUUGAGCAAGCUGAGACAAGGCAAGUUGUUCAAGAAUGAAUGUGAUCAAGUCCAGGAGGAAGCCAUACCUCUCACUUGUCCCUGCCUUGAAGCAGUAGCAGAACUUGCCACCCAACUUGAGCAGUGUGCCACUGCCAGCCAGCUCUUUGGCUCAGGUUAACUGCAGAAUAAUUUUCCGUGCUGAGAAUAUUUGUUAAAUAUCACCAUCUCUUCAUUAUGCUUCUGUAAUUCUACCUGCCUGGCAGCUGUCUGCAGGCCAAUAUGUCAGGUGAUAAGCUACCAACUGCCAUGGAGCUGCCCCUUUAGUUAUCUUUGAUUUGGGGAAAACUGCAAAGUGAUAUUUUUACCAUUUUAGUAUGGGUCUAAGCAAGGGGUGUGUGUGCAUGUGUGUGUGUGUUGUAUGUUUUAAUGUAUUCAUACACUAAUCAUGGGCCUUUUUCUUAGUAUUCUUACAUUCCCGUGCAUGUGACUUUCCAGUUAUGUAACUUGCUGUUAGAAAACUUUAGAUUCCCUUGGUUCCUGAAGUACACAGAAGUGGUGUUCAUUUUCAGAGUAGAAACUGAUGUGCCUUUCAGAAUGGCUGACAAAUUUUGGGGGUAAGAAAGUAUGUUACAUGUCCUUAGAGAGAGAGAAAGAAUUGAUUUAUGAAAUAGUACUUUUAAAUUUUUCUUCAGAUUUGGUAUCAUUACCGUAAUUGGUAGACAGUAAAACCUGUCACUUGAAAAUGA